This 353-nucleotide ribosomal RNA is filed under the name uncultured bacterium. RNAcentral's name for it is "bacterial SSU rRNA". It matches the Rfam family "Bacterial small subunit ribosomal RNA", at positions 29 to 409 of the family's 1533-position model. The record is from RNAcentral.
AACGAACGCUGGCGGCAUGCCUAACACAUGCAAGUCGAACGAGACCUUCGGGUCUAGUGGCGCACGGGUGCGUAACGCGUGGGAACCUGCCUUUAGGUUCGGAAUAACUCAGAGAAAUUUGAGCUAAUACCGGAUAAUGUCUUCGGACCAAAGAUUUAUCGCCUUUAGAUGGGCCCGCGUUGGAUUAGCUAGUUGGUGGGGUAAAGGCCUACCAAGGCGACGAUCCAUAGCUGGUCUGAGAGGAUGAUCAGCACACUGGGACUGAGACACGGCCCAGACUCCUACGGAGGCAGCAGUGGGGAAUUUUUGGACAAUGGGCGGCAAGCCUGAUCCAGCAAUGCCGCGUGCAGGAU